RNAcentral lists this ribosomal RNA (616 nucleotides) under uncultured Bacilli bacterium. RNAcentral describes it as "bacterial SSU rRNA". It matches the Rfam family "Bacterial small subunit ribosomal RNA", at positions 99 to 702 of the family's 1533-position model. Lineage: Bacteria; Bacillati; Bacillota; Bacilli. The record is from RNAcentral.
CGGACGGGUGAGUAACACGUGGGUAACCUGCCCAAGAGACUGGGAUAACACCUGGAAACAGAUGCUAAUACCGGAUAACAACACUAGACGCAUGUCUAGAGUUUAAAAGAUGGUUCUGCUAUCACUCUUGGAUGGACCUGCGGUGCAUUAGCUAGUUGGUAAGGUAACGGCUUACCAAGGCAAUGAUGCAUAGCCGAGUUGAGAGACUGAUCGGCCACAUUGGGACUGAGACACGGCCCAAACUCCUACGGGAGGCAGCAGUAGGGAAUCUUCCACAAUGGACGCAAGUCUGAUGGAGCAACGCCGCGUGAGUGAAGAAGGGUUUCGGCUCGUAAAGCUCUGUUGGUAGUGAAGAAAGAUAGAGGUAGUAACUGGCCUUUAUUUGACGGUAAUUACUUAGAAAGUCACGGCUAACUACGUGCCAGCAGCCGCGGUAAUACGUAGGUGGCAAGCGUUGUCCGGAUUUAUUGGGCGUAAAGCGAGUGCAGGCGGUUCAAUAAGUCUGAUGUGAAAGCCUUCGGCUCAACCGGAGAAUUGCAUCAGAAACUGUUGAACUUGAGUGCAGAAGAGGAGAGUGGAACUCCAUGUGUAGCGGUGGAAUGCGUAGAUAUAUGGA